UGCAAUAGCAACACGUUGUUGUUGACCACCUGAUAAUGCAUGUGGACGUUGAUCUUUGACAUGUGUUAAACCAACUUUCUCAAGUAACUCAAGUGAUUUCCCACGUGCCUCAUCCUUUUUCAACUUUUUAACUGUGAUAAGACCUUCCAUUACAUUUUCUAAUGCCGUCUUAUGCGGAAAAAGGUUAUAACUUUGAAAUACCAUACCAGACUGUUUACGAACUUCUAUUUGUGAUUUUUAUCUUUAGAUGUAUAUGUUUUGCCGUUAACAUAAACUGUACCUUCAGUUG
This 289-nucleotide small RNA is filed under the name Staphylococcus aureus. Its description in RNAcentral is "Transcript". The record is from RNAcentral. Lineage: Bacteria; Bacillati; Bacillota; Bacilli; Caryophanales; Staphylococcaceae.